UGGCCAGAGUGCCAUCACCUGGCUGGUUAGGCUGUGGCAGCUCCUGGCCAGAGAGCCAUCACCUGGCUGGUUAGGCUGUGGCAGCCCAGGGCCCUGCUGGGUUCAUAUUAAGAACUUUGAUAGGAGAAUAUGGAGAAGAGUUCACCCACUGUACCUUCCCCUAAUCCAUUAUUCACUCUCAUGUGUUUCUAUUUAUACGCCUCCUGUUUCUAGCAACUAUGUGUGUUGACUGUCUUUGACUUGGGCAAACUUGGGACUUUAUGCAUGUACCUUGUAAAUCCUGCAUGCUCAUGUUAACACCAUUCGCUGUAGGUCUGCUGCUCAGUUAUACUCCCAAUAUAGUGUUCUUGUAAAAUGUCUUGCAUUAGCUCUAGGGUUAUAUUUAGAGAGCUUUGCAAGUAGUUGUUAGUUUUUUCAUUCAGCUUUAAGUUGACUUGCAAUGUUAAAUGGAAAUUUCACCUCUGCUCUAUUUUACUAUAUAUGUACAUUAAUAUGUUAUUAAUAUAUCAUGUCAUGAAAAUUUAGAAUUUCCUCACCACAUGCAAAUACGAGUGUUUUUGCAUCUCACUGUUAGAAACGGGCCAGCUACAUGGUUGUAAGCCAACCACAAUAUCCAGAAUUCAUGGCGAUUUCAGGACGUGGAGGACCGCCCAAUUUGAUGUUAGAGAUAUUAAAAAUGUUGUUUUUAGCCAGCACUUUCAGCCAGAGGAAGUCUCAGUUGAUGGGGUUGCCAUGUCAUCAUACUUUCAAAGGGGAUGUUUUUCCAUCGAUUUUCCCCUCACUUCAAAGAGGAAGGCAUCCCAUCAGCCAACAUCAGCGCUGCAAGACAACACGGUAAGAUAGUUAACGUUACCUAGCUAACAAGCUAGAGAACUACAUUUGUUAAUCUAAACCAAAAUCUAGCUAGCUAGCUUCAAUAAUACGCUGGCUAUAUUCCAAAGCAUAUCAGUGUAAUUAGCCGGCUGUUAUCUGGAGACAUGAUUUCUAACUUUGCAAGCUAAUAUAAGCAUCGUUAGGUUACGUUGGUGAACUGUUAGCCUCUGCUGUAGUUAGUUAGCUAGCUAACGUGACUAGCUGUGUUCUUUUUAGAGUCCGAUCCCAUCAUCUGCAGAGGCAUCAACAUCAAGCUCAGCACCAGGAACUAGUGAGACCUGCAGUACAAACAAAUCUUCUGCAAUAGGUCGAAGCAGUGAGUGGUAAAGAAAGUGUAUGAGGCUUGUUCACCUGGCUGUGGAUUGCAGAAAAGACCAGAGUUUUCUACAAGGAGCCAGAGUUGCAGCCCCCCCAAUCUCAACAUUGCCACAGCGCCAAAGCCUGCUAAACCAGCUGCCAUUACCCAACACAAGAAGAGGUUCACCAGCUGAAAAACACUCAGGAACAUGCCUGGAACGUUCAAUCAACACAACAUCCGACUGAUGUUGUAGUAUAAUAUAGAAUGCCUAGUAUGGUCACAACUGCAUUGUGGUGUAUAUAUUGCUAGCUGUAUAUAAGUGUUUUGUAUAAUAUAUUUUACAAGCGACUAAUUGAUUCCAGCAGCAUCAGAAACCAAUAAACUGUUAACUUCAA
This is a long non-coding RNA of Salvelinus sp. IW2-2015, 1566 nucleotides long. RefSeq lists it as uncharacterized. NCBI's taxonomy places the organism in Eukaryota, Metazoa, Chordata, Actinopteri, Salmoniformes, Salmonidae. The transcript is spliced from 2 exons. The record is from RefSeq and is a predicted model, not a curated record.